GAUGAACGCUGGCGGCGUGCCUAAUACAUGCCAGUCGAGCGAACGGACGAGAAGCUUGCUUCUCUGAUGUUAGCGGCGGACGGGUGAGUAACACGUGGAUAACCUACCUAUAAGACUGGGAUAACUUCGGGAAACCGGAGCUAAUACCGGAUGAUAUUUUGAACCGCAUGGUUCAAAAGUGAAAGACGGUCUUGCUGUCACUUAUAGAUGGAUCCGCGCUGCAUUAGCUAGUUGGUAAGGUAACGGCUUACCAAGGCAACGAUGCAUAGCCGACCUGAGAGGGUGAUCGGCCACACUGGAACUGAGACACGGUCCAGACUCCUACGGGAGGCAGCAGUAGGGAAUCUUCCGCGAUGGGCGAAAGCCUGACGGAGCAACGCCGCGUGAGUGAUGAAGGUCUUCGGAUCGUAAAACUCUGUUAUUAGGGAAGAACAUAUGUGUAAGUAACUGUGCACAUCUUGACGGUACCUAAUCAGAAAGCCACGGCUAACUACGUG
RNAcentral lists this ribosomal RNA (497 nucleotides) under uncultured bacterium. RNAcentral's name for it is "partial 16S ribosomal RNA". It matches the Rfam family "Bacterial small subunit ribosomal RNA", at positions 28 to 507 of the family's 1533-position model. The record is from RNAcentral.